CCUACGGGUGGCAGCAGUGGGGAAUAUUGGGCAAUGGAGGCAACUCUGACCCAGCAACGCCGCGUGAAUGCUGAAGGUCUUCGGAGUGUAAAGUUCUGUGAUGGGGGAUGAACACAAUGACGGUACCCCAAUAGCAAGCCACGGCUAAGUACGUGCCAGCAGCCGCGGUAAUACGUAGGUGGCAAGCGUUAUCCGGAAUGACUGGGUGUAAAGGGUGCGUAGGUGGUUUAGUAAGUUGGCGGUGUAAUUCCGGGGCUCAACCUCGGCGCUACGGGCAAAACUGUUAGAAUAGAGUGCAGGGGGGGUAAGUGGAAUUCGUAGGGUAGCGGGGAAAUGCAUAGAUAUAACGCAGAACUCCGAUUGCGAAGGCAGCAUACCGGCGCCCAACUGACGCUGAAGCACGAAAGCGUGGGUAUCGAACAGGAUUAGAUACCCCGGUAGUC
Molecule: ribosomal RNA, 443 nt
Filed under: uncultured bacterium
Lineage: Bacteria
Description: partial 16S ribosomal RNA
Rfam family: Bacterial small subunit ribosomal RNA
Source: RNAcentral